Non-coding RNA from Arvicanthis niloticus (Nile rat), 255 nucleotides. The record is from RefSeq and is a predicted model, not a curated record. Lineage: Eukaryota; Metazoa; Chordata; Mammalia; Rodentia; Muridae.
AGAGAGCCCGGAGAUGUGGCCGCUAUGAAGAGGGCGGUACCCAAGUGGAAGCACGUCAUGCAACAAAUAUGAAAUGGCAAAGAUGCACGAAGUAGCCCUGCCUUGCAGCUCAUUGGGGGGUGGCAUGAAAUCAGCUGGAUGGUUCAAGAAAUGGUCUAGAGAUCCAGGGUACCCCACAGCAGCCAUUGGGGUGAAUAGGUCUACUUCUUCAAACCAUGACCCUCUCUUCUAGUUCCUGCCCUGGGCCGUGAGCCA